Molecule: ribosomal RNA, 460 nt
Filed under: uncultured bacterium
Lineage: Bacteria
Description: partial 16S ribosomal RNA
Rfam family: Bacterial small subunit ribosomal RNA
Source: RNAcentral
CCUACGGGCGGCAGCAGUGAGGAAUAUUGGUCAAUGGACGAGAGUCUGAACCAGCCAAGUAGCGUGAAGGAUGACUGCCCUAUGGGUUGUAAACUUCUUUUAUAAAGGAAUAAAACGAGGCACGUGUGCCUUUUUGCAUGUACUUUAUGAAUAAGGAUCGGCUAACUCCGUACCAGCAGCCGCGGUAAUACGGAGGAUCCGAGCGUUAUCCGGAUUUAUUGGGUUUAAAGGGAGCGUAGAUGGGUUGUUAAGUCAGUUGUGAAAGUUUGCGGCUCAACCGUAAAAUUGCAAUUGAUACUGGCAGUCGUGAGUACAGUUGAGGUAAGCGGAAUUCGUGGUGUAGCGGUGAAAUGCUUAGAUAUCACGAAGAACCCCGAUUGCGAAGGCAGCUUACUAAACUGUGACUGACAUUGAUGCUCGAAAGUGUGGGUAUCAAACAGGAUUAGAUACCCCUGUAGUC